GAGGGUAUAGCUCAGUGGUAGAGUACAGUGCUUAGGAUACACGAGGUCCUGGGUUCAAGCCCCAGUACCUCCU
Molecule: transfer RNA, 73 nt
Filed under: Camelus bactrianus (Bactrian camel)
Lineage: Eukaryota; Metazoa; Chordata; Mammalia; Artiodactyla; Camelidae
Also listed under: 1 other name
Rfam family: tRNA
About the family: Transfer RNA (tRNA) molecules are approximately 80 nucleotides in length. Their secondary structure includes four short double-helical elements and three loops (D, anti-codon, and T loops). Further hydrogen bonds mediate the characteristic L-shaped molecular structure. tRNAs have two regions of fundamental functional importance: the anti-codon, which is responsible for specific mRNA codon recognition, and the 3' end, to which the tRNAs corresponding amino acid is attached (by aminoacyl-tRNA synthetases). tRNAs cope with the degeneracy of the genetic code in two manners: having more than one tRNA (with a specific anti-codon) for a particular amino acid; and 'wobble' base-pairing, i.e. permitting non-standard base-pairing at the 3rd anti-codon position.
Source: Rfam by way of RNAcentral